AUUCUACUCCCUCCGUUGCACAAUACAUGCCUUCUAUUUGUCAAAAUAUAUAUGUAUCUAGACAUGUUUUAGUAUAGAGGUACAUCCAUUUUUGGACAAAUGGAAGUCAAGUAUUUUGGAACGGAGGGAGUACACA
Triticum aestivum (bread wheat) is the source of this 136-nucleotide non-coding RNA. NCBI's taxonomy places the organism in Eukaryota, Viridiplantae, Streptophyta, Magnoliopsida, Poales, Poaceae. The record is from Rfam.